Molecule: non-coding RNA, 45 nt
Filed under: Trichobilharzia regenti
Lineage: Eukaryota; Metazoa; Platyhelminthes; Trematoda; Strigeidida; Schistosomatidae
Source: RNAcentral
AUCCAGGUAACGAGUCCCAAAUAGGAUGAAAUGCGCGUUCUGGAU